UCAAGAAACUUCCACAAUGGGCGAAAGCCUGAUGGAGCGACGUCGCGUGAUGGACGAAGUGCUUCGGCACGUAAACAUCUUUUAUGUGGGACGAAAUUAUUGACGGUACCACAUGAAUAAGGGGCUCCUAACUCUGUGCCAGCAGGAGCGGUAAUACAGAGGCCCCAAGCGUUAUCCGGAAUCACUGGGCGUAAAGGGUGUCGAGGCGGUCAUGUUAGUCGUUCGUAAAAUCCGUGGGCUCAACCUACGGCCGGCGAGCGAAACGGCAUGACUUGAGGUUGGGAGAGGUGCAUGGAACUCACGGUGUAGGGGUGAAAUCCGUUGAUAUCGUGGGGAACACCAAAGGCGAAGGCAGUGCACUGGCCCAAAUCUGACGCUCACACACGAAAGCUAGGGUAGCGAACGGGAUUAGAUACCCCUGUAGUCCCUGAGCGGGCUGGCAAGGCGCAU
This 450-nucleotide ribosomal RNA is filed under the name uncultured bacterium. RNAcentral's name for it is "bacterial SSU rRNA". It matches the Rfam family "Bacterial small subunit ribosomal RNA", at positions 355 to 825 of the family's 1533-position model. The record is from RNAcentral.